Non-coding RNA from Lactuca sativa (garden lettuce), 1103 nucleotides. The record is from RefSeq and is a predicted model, not a curated record. Lineage: Eukaryota; Viridiplantae; Streptophyta; Magnoliopsida; Asterales; Asteraceae.
AUCCCAUUUUUCUUCUUCAGUCACAAAAUUUACUCAUAAAUAUAUUUCAAACAGUAUUCGCUAAUUCAGAUCUAUCAAGACUUCGAUCGAUUCCGAGCAACAGCAACAUUAAUUCCAACCAGAAAUACCGAAAGCCAAGAAAUGUCAUUGUGCAUGUCGACAUUAAAUGCUGCUCCAUUAAUAUCUACAAGCCCAAGUCUCACUACAUCAUCUUCUAUAGUUAAUUCAACUUCUCAUGCAGCAAUCUCAAAAACAAAGUAUCUUGCCUCAUGCAGCGUUCAUGGCUUAAAUAGCAGAAACUUUCAGUAUCACCCCAGGUUGAUGAUUGCACGACGAAAGUUUGUUGUAUACAGCAAUAUUACUCCACUUCCCGGAGUUCCUCUUCCUUCAGGAUCACCUUCGGGUUCUAUGGAAAGUUGGGUUAUGUGUAUCGUGUUGACAUUCGUCUUACCUUUUAUCACGCAUAAAUGGGGGCCAUUGAUUGCACUAAAAAAUAGAGUGGACACAGCGGUAGACAUGGCGGAGCAUAUAGCGGAAGUUAUGGAAGAUGUGGCUGGAAAAGUUGAUAAGGUGAUCGAUAGCAUUACUGAUGAUCUUCCUGAAGAUAGUAAACUCAGAAAAAGGUUGGAAGCCAUUGAUGAGCUGAUCGAAGGAGUAGCAAUGAGUGCUCAUAUCGCCAAUGAUAUCAUCGACAAGGUUUGAAUAUACUGAUCUUUUUCAAGCACGUACACAUAUGACUUGAAGGGGCCAAAGUUGGGUGGAAGAAGCUGAAGAUAAACUAGAGUCCUUGAUUCUUUCCCAUGCAAACGAGGAAAAGGUUUCCAUGCAAGUUGUGGAAAAGGAUGAAGUUUCUUCCCAUAAAGAUUGAAUAGUUAUUGAUAUUCGAGAAAAAGAUAACGAUGGUCAACGUAUUAAAGUUUGACCUAUGAUUAGGAGAAGCUUUAAGAUCAAUUUGUUCAUUUAUUUGUAAUAUAUAUUCUUACUGUUAGCAUACUAUUUGCUUUGAACUAGUCCAUUCUAAUAUUUCAUCAAAUACGGAUUGUAUAUAUCCUUUUGAAAUAGUAUAGUCACGAUGACACCUAAAAUAUAUAUGAAAUCGAAAC